AGCAGCCGCGGUAAUUCCAGCUCCAAUAGCGUAUAUUAAAGUUGUUGCAGUUAAGAAGCUCGUAGUUGAAUUUCGGAAUCUGUCCGUUGGUCGGGCUUAACUGUCCGUACUGAUGUGAUGGGUUCUUACCUUCUGAAUAACCAGCAUGCCAUUAAUUUAGUGUGUUGGGGAAGCAGGACUAUUACCUUGAAAAAAUUAGAGUGCUCAAAGCAGGCUAGCGCCUGAAUACAUUAGCAUGGAAUAAUAGAAUAGGACGGCAUGGUUCUAUUUUGUUGGUUUCUAGGAUCACCGUAAUGAUUAAUAGGGAUAGUUGGGGGCAUUAGUAUUCAAUUGUCAGAGGUGAAAUUCUUGGAUUUAUUGAAGACUAACUUCUGCGAAAGCAUUUGCCAAGGAUGUUUUCAUUAAUCAAGAACGAAAGUUAGGGGAUCGAAGACGAUCAGAUACCGUCGUAGUCUUAACCAUAAACUAUGCCGACUAGGGAUCGGACGAUGUUAAUUUUAUAAUGACUUCG
RNAcentral lists this ribosomal RNA (511 nucleotides) under uncultured Acaulospora. Its description in RNAcentral is "SSU rRNA". It matches the Rfam family "Eukaryotic small subunit ribosomal RNA", at positions 569 to 1082 of the family's 1831-position model. Lineage: Eukaryota; Fungi; Glomeromycota; Glomeromycetes; Diversisporales; Acaulosporaceae. The record is from RNAcentral.